UUGCGUAACGGGCGACGUAACAGUCCAGGCAUCAGUCUAUUGUCUUUCACUUACCGCCAUCGUUUUCUUCACCAGGAAACAACCCUCGCUUACGAUCCUUUGUCCGCUGCUCCAACGAGCACCUCCAGGCAGAAGGCGAAUCGAGCCCCGUUUCUGGCUCGCUGUUAACCCGUUAAGUCGUUAAAUAAUCAGUCAACAACACGCAAGGAACCAGAUCACAGUCGACGUUACACAAGUCAACGUACGAGUUGAUAGUUGCAUUCUCUUCCAGUUGU
Molecule: long non-coding RNA, 275 nt
Organism: Bombus impatiens (common eastern bumble bee)
Lineage: Eukaryota; Metazoa; Arthropoda; Insecta; Hymenoptera; Apidae
Exons: 3
Source: RefSeq, a predicted model, not a curated record